GAGGGUAUAUCUCUGUGGUAGAGUGCAUGCUUAGCAUGCAGGAGGUCCUGGAUUCAAUCCCCAGUACCCCUC
RNAcentral lists this transfer RNA (72 nucleotides) under Camelus bactrianus (Bactrian camel). It matches the Rfam family "tRNA". From Rfam's summary of the family: Transfer RNA (tRNA) molecules are approximately 80 nucleotides in length. Their secondary structure includes four short double-helical elements and three loops (D, anti-codon, and T loops). RNAcentral also lists the same sequence under 2 other names. The record is from Rfam by way of RNAcentral. Lineage: Eukaryota; Metazoa; Chordata; Mammalia; Artiodactyla; Camelidae.